Molecule: long non-coding RNA, 2836 nt
Organism: Lagopus muta (rock ptarmigan)
Lineage: Eukaryota; Metazoa; Chordata; Aves; Galliformes; Phasianidae
Exons: 3
Source: RefSeq, a predicted model, not a curated record
UAAGUGGAACCGCAGCUCUACUGUUGUGAUGCUGAAGCCCUCCCAGGCCUGGCACUGCCGAGGGGACAGCCACAGUCACACACAGCUGUUCCAGGCUGAGGAACAGCCACUGCCGCCCCGCUGCUGGCUGCUUUCAUUGUCUGUGCCUCCUGAAAGGGGAGAGGGGGACUGAAGGACACAAGCUACAACCAAACGGCCUGCAAGCGAUGAGGAUGUUCGAAUUCCUUUCCUGCUUGUGGCAGUGCGGUUGAUUAGCACAGAGCAGCUAGCUAAUGGGCCUGCUAUGAUGUGUGCUGGCCGUCUGGCACCCCAGUUCACACUCUGGAGCUGUUGGCGCCAAAACCUGCAGCCAUCCUCAGUCAGGUGGGGCAGCCAUCUUCCCUCACCUCCACGGUAUGGAGCAGCCGGUGCUUGUGAGCGCGGCUGGAGAGAUAGCCGUCAUUAUUCCGAGCACUCCAGGAGGCCUUAAUGGCCCCUUAACAGCCUUUCUUGGAAGUCGUCCACGUGCGAAGACCGAGCUGUGAGGAGGCAGCGCUGAUCUUCAGCUUAGCCACAACCUGCCCUUGUUGUCAGAGCCUUCACUUGUGCUCUGAUCUUGUACUUCGUUCACAGACCUUUCACCUCACUGUGGAUCUGCCCGGUGAGGAUCCUUUCUCCCUCCCAGCACCUCACUCUGGGGAGACUGAGGAGGGCACUGACCGGUGGGGAUGAGCCCAGGCGGAGGCAGCUGAGCAGCACUCUUCCAGGGCACCAGCUGCAGCUGACAUGCAGAAAUAUCUAUGAUCUACCUGAGGGACUCCUUCCAUGGACACUUCCAGUGGUAUCAUGGGCAUGUGGAGCAUUCCCCAUAGCAAUAUACACUUCUCAGGACUUCUGCAUAUGAAUUCUCAACUGCAAAGCUGAGAGGUUGGAACAAAAGAAAAGACUGAUUCUACCAGUUAGACCUAAUGUUGCUAAAUGUUGUGAAGCUAAUUCUUUGCCUGCUGGUAUGUUUCUAAUUGCUUUAAAAAAAAAAAAAAAAGUAUGUGCCUUUGCUCUUCUGAGGAUAUGCUGAUUUUGAGAAGGUAUGGGGAGGAGUAUAGCCUAACACUCCUGUGCUAUUUCCAUUUGUACUGUGGUACGAGUUAGAACCCCAGUUGUGACGGGAUUCUCAUUGUGUCAGGAACAUAGUGAAAGUGAAUUCCCAGCCUCAAAGUUCAUGGUACCUUAAUUACUUCCUUGUUAUAUGUAACUAUAUUGCUGUUUAUUAUUAUUUUUGUAUAUUCUGUUGCAUUUUAUACCUCUGCCUUGGUUAUCAAACACAGGAUUUUUACUAAUCCUUUUAAUUUAAGAAUUCCUGAGCUGUAAUUCCAUGCAUGAUAUUGACUUGGGGUUGACAGAGCUACUGACUCACUCAUCAUAUUUGAUCUAGUGAAAUGUCUCACCUUUGAAAACCUGCUGGUAGUCAUUACCUUCUGUGGGUAGCAGUAAAGGAGUCCUUUGAAAUAACCUAUGCCUACUUAAGAAACUUAAGCAUUCAUUUGUAACAGUAUUUUAAGAUCAGCCUGUUCCCUAAUAUUUUUCACCACACAUUGGUCACAUGUGUGAAAAAAUUUUGCUGGCAUAGUAAAAGAAUAAAUGGAGAAACAGCUGAGAAUAGAGACAGUUUAUGUUGACAGUAUUUCCACUAAAAUAACAUGAAGAAUCCAUUUAGGAUAUAUGGAGUCUGUAUGGAUAGGAUCAGUUGGCUCUGCUUAGUAAGGCAAAUAGAAAUGGAUGAUGAGAAGCUGUCAUAAAGCAGGAUGUCUUACUGGCAGAGCUAAAAAGCCUCAGGAAAAGUACUGCUUACACAGUAUUGGAGAAUAUUCUUUAGGGAUGUCAUGCAGACCUGUUCUUAUGCACUUUCCAGGCUAUUGGGCUUGAUAGGCUUUUGGUUUGACCUAGUAUGUCUUAUUUUUUUCUCACUCAGAGCUCUUGGAGGAGAGGAAAGUGGUGUCAGGGAAGCAAGAUGGGAUUUUACAGCCAUACAAAUGUCUACUAAACAUUUUUGGAGAGAAUUUGCAUUCUCUUGAAAAUGUAUGGAAUCUGUAGCUUGCAAGGGAAUAAUGAUAUUUAAAUAGGUGUUGUAGUGCAUUUAAGUACACAGAAUCAGUGUGUGAUUGGAUAGCAUUGUGGCCUAAUUGUUACAUUCAUUCAAUUAACAGUGUAUGGAUACAUAUCUCUGUGUCAUGCAUUUUAUUAGCUCAAAUAUGCAAUUGCAGUGAUGCUUCUACAGGGAGAUGGAACUGUAUAGCAACCUUGAAAAAUGUGAAACAGGUUUACAGGAGGCUUUCCUGGAGAACAUUUUGCAUCUUGAAAACAGUACCUUGGAAGGAGAUUUAUCUGGUUUUUCCCUUCUGCAUCACAAGGGUCAGAAUGUUUUAAAAUGUAGCAUUUAAAUUUGCUGCCUUUACUUGAACUGUAUACCAAAAUCUGAUUUUUGUCUGCCAUAUGCAAAGAGUAAGAAAUUUGCUCAGGACUAAACAUUAUUUUACAAUUGCUGUAAAGGUGUAAUCUUUCCUGUUAAAUACUUGUAUUAUUAGUAGAAUAAAUAUUUGUAUAGCUGCUUCAUAUCUAACUGCAUCAAAUGAAACUGUAGCCUUGUUGGGUUCCCAAGCAUGGAAACAAAAAUAUUUUAUCUCAAUUGGUGACAAUCUGUGAGGUUUGCAUAAUUUCACUUUAACCUCAUAGGUGAAAUGUUUGUCAGUGGAGUUAAGAAUGCAUUUUUCAAUUUUUUUGGUGAGUUUCAAUUGGAUUUAAUGCUGAGGCAUCAUGAGGUGGGAUAAGAAAUGGAAAUAUCUAUGCCUUUAUAUACGUA